CGGAGCUGUUAUGUAUAUGUAUUGUAUCGCGAACCUGCGUUAGAAAAGCGAGCGCGUCCUUUUUAUUUCGCUUUCGGUCGCUUUCGUUUCAAGUCUCUUAAGUUGUUCUGGUGGUUCCUGUGUCUGUGCCACAACUAUAUACAGUUUAACUAAAUCCGGCAACGUUGUUAUUGUAUUUUAUUUGCUUCUCAACACGUCUCACUGAUUGUUGAGUGAUUUUCAAAAGUUUAAGUGCCAAAGAAAAUUUUUAAAAACUUGCCUUUGUGGUCUUGAUUGUUUACCAAGUCGAUAAUUUUUAGUGACUAUUCAAGAGACAAGUGUUUACUCACGAGUCCACGUGAGGCUUAUUGUUGCAGUUUUCGAGAUAGAAUAGUGGCAAAUAAUAAUGGGCACUAGAGCUGUAGGAUUAGGAAGUGCUGGAGGAGCUGGAGUGGUCGGAGAAGCUGGUCUAGCGGGUGUACCACGACUUCUUGAAGAUUUGACGAGACUUUCUGAGGACAAUGAGUCUGCGGACAUUGUUUUUCUACUUGGGAGAGACGAAACUCCUGUUUAUGGUCAUCGGAUUAUUCUUCAAGUCAGGUGCAAAAAUUUCACAACACCAAAACGAAUGGGGAACUCGGGGAACCCAACGCCUAUCAGAAUGCCUCAUGCUCAUCCCGAGACAUUUCGACAGUUCAUUCACUACGUCUACACGGGAAAAAUAAUGCUCCAAGACAGCGGAAUUUUUGAAAUGCUCGCUUUGGCUCAAGAGCUCGGAGUCGAGGAGCUCUGGAGGAGUUGCGAAGAACAUGUAUCAGCAACUUUGAGUCCCGGAAAUGCAUGUGCACUUCUUACGGCGGCUCUAGAUGCUCAAGACCGAGUUCUUGGUGGAAAAGGAGCUUGCUCAUCGUUCAUCGAACGCUGUUUUGCAUUUAUAAGCGACAAUGCUAUUGAUACAGUAAAAACUCCAGCUUUUAGCAACUUACCCAAGGAUGCUCUGGUGAAAUUGAUCUCCUCUGACUACUUGGGACUUGAAGAAGAAGACGUAUGGCGUGCUGUCCUCAACUGGGCUAAAUAUCAAGCAGGUGUUACACAACCGACUCAACAUUGGACCGAAGAGGAGCGUGCUCGUGUUUGUCAACAUCUAGCUGGUGUUAUUAAUCACGUUCGAUUAUUAUUGAUCGACAGCCAUGUAUUUGCUGAAGAAGUCGAGCCAACUGGUGCUGUGCCCAUUGAACUAUCACUCGAAAGGUAUCGUUAUGCCGCAGUACCCAACAAGUACUCAGAAAUUUGUGCUGACAAGCGCCUGCAGCCCCGAAUCGGGCCUCUGCUGUUCCCAGGAUCUCAAAUCCUGUCUCGAGACAAAAUGGGAUAUCAACGACUGCUGAAUCAGUGGUAUGGAAACCCCAAGCAAAAUUGGCGACUAAUUUAUCGCGCAUCCAGUAACGGGUACUCAGCAUCAGCAUUCCACCGUCAUUGUGACGGCGUCGCGCCAACUUACACCAUCGCCUUGAGCUCGCGAGGCGAAAUAUGCGGUGGGUUUAGCGAUGUUGCCUGGGACAAAACAAGUGCCAAGGGUCACUACAUAUCUGCUGAGAAAGCAUUUCUUUUUACGCUUACCAAUAAUCAGGAUGUCCCGCCAACUAAAUACGACCUUAUUAAAAAGCCAUUCGCUAUUUGCUAUCAUCCUGAUAUUGGUCCAAUCUUUGGAGCAGGAGCAGACUUGUUGAUAUCAAACAAUUGUAACGUUAAUUUAGAAAGUUACAGUAAUCUACCUCACACCUAUGACGGUGAAAAUGCCUCAAGUACAAUUUUAAUGGGCGAUUAUCACUUUACUGUCCUUGAUUAUGAAGUGUUUACUUUAAACGGCCCGAUUUCAAAGUCUGAAAGACACUAAAACCUUAAAAACAAAUUACAUUCCUCAAGAUAACACUUGAACCUGACAGUACGUGACUAAGUACACUAACCCAGUGUCACAAUCCACUUAUCCAGUUUUAUCCAGUCCAGAAUUCUUCCAUUUAACGUUUUAUUGGAAAUUUGGAGUAAACGCUGGUUAAUCAUCGCUCAGUAUAUCGG
RNAcentral lists this unclassified non-coding RNA (2055 nucleotides) under Cotesia glomerata. Its description in RNAcentral is "kelch-like protein 17, transcript variant X5". Lineage: Eukaryota; Metazoa; Arthropoda; Insecta; Hymenoptera; Braconidae. The record is from RNAcentral.